Molecule: ribosomal RNA, 348 nt
Filed under: uncultured Alphaproteobacteria bacterium
Lineage: Bacteria; Pseudomonadati; Pseudomonadota; Alphaproteobacteria
Description: bacterial SSU rRNA
Rfam family: Bacterial small subunit ribosomal RNA
Source: RNAcentral
GACAGGUGCUGCAUGGCUGUCGUCAGCUCGUGUCAUGAGAUGUUGGGUUAAGUCCCGCAACGAGCGCCAACCCCGCCUUCAGUUGCCAACGGUUCGGCCGUGCACUCUGGAGGAACUGCCUGUGACAAGCAGGAGGAAGGUGGGGAUGACGUCAAGUCCUCAUGGCCCUUAUGGGCUGGGCUACACACGUGCUACAAUGGCGGUGACAGAGGGAUGCAAUACCGCGAGGUGGAGCAAAUCCCUAAAAGCCGUCUCAGUUCGGAUUGUUCUCUGCAACUCGAGAGCAUGAAGUUGGAAUCGCUAGUAAUCGCGGAUCAGCUCGCCGCGGUGAAUACGUUCCCGGGCCUU